This 92-nucleotide transfer RNA is filed under the name Mariprofundaceae bacterium. Its description in RNAcentral is "tRNA-Ser". It matches the Rfam family "tRNA". From Rfam's summary of the family: Transfer RNA (tRNA) molecules are approximately 80 nucleotides in length. Their secondary structure includes four short double-helical elements and three loops (D, anti-codon, and T loops). Further hydrogen bonds mediate the characteristic L-shaped molecular structure. tRNAs have two regions of fundamental functional importance: the anti-codon, which is responsible for specific mRNA codon recognition, and the 3' end, to which the tRNAs corresponding amino acid is attached (by aminoacyl-tRNA synthetases). tRNAs cope with the degeneracy of the genetic code in two manners: having more than one tRNA (with a specific anti-codon) for a particular amino acid; and 'wobble' base-pairing, i.e. permitting non-standard base-pairing at the 3rd anti-codon position. Lineage: Bacteria; Pseudomonadati; Pseudomonadota; Candidatius Mariprofundia; Mariprofundales; Mariprofundaceae. The record is from RNAcentral.
GGAGAGAUGUCCGAGUGGUCGAAGGAGCACGCCUGGAAAGCGUGUGUACCCUUAACGGGGUACCGAGGGUUCGAAUCCCUCUCUCUCCGCCA